Molecule: transfer-messenger RNA, 398 nt
Filed under: Anaerolineaceae bacterium
Lineage: Bacteria; Bacillati; Chloroflexota; Anaerolineae; Anaerolineales; Anaerolineaceae
Also listed under: 1 other name
Description: transfer-messenger RNA, SsrA
Rfam family: transfer-messenger RNA
About the family: Bacterial tmRNA, also known as 10Sa RNA or SsrA, is named for its dual tRNA and mRNA-like properties. Its role is to liberate the mRNA from a stalled ribosome. To accomplish this part of the tmRNA is used as a reading frame that ends in a translation stop signal.
Source: RNAcentral
GGGGAUGCCAUGGCUUCGACGGGGGAGGCUGGAUCCGGAUUGCGAGUCGAGAGGCGCCCGAUCUCGUAAAAUCAGCGCAAAAAAAUUAAGUGCCAACAAUCGCACUUCCUACGCUGCAAUGCCGUUAGCCGCUUAAGCGACCGGCGUUCAGCCUGACCUUUUCAGGUCACGUCCGCCCGAAUCGUAUCCUGACCGAUCGCGGAGCGGGCGCCAUAAUGUCAGGAUGCUGACCGCGAAUUCACGGCGUGGGACAAAAGAGGACUUUCGGGUCUGAGUGAAUCGCUUCCGUCGAGUGCGUUCCGUCUCUCGAUGAUAAGCUAAAAUGAAACGGGAAUACGCUCGUAGUAUAUUCGAGGUUCGAUUCUUUCGGACGCGGGUUCGACUCCCGCCAUCUCCAC